GCCGAGGUGGCGGAACUGGUAGACGCGCCAGAUUUAGGAUCUGGUGGUUCACUCCGUGCGGGUUCGAGUCCCGCCCUCGGCACCA
This 85-nucleotide transfer RNA is filed under the name Gammaproteobacteria bacterium. RNAcentral describes it as "tRNA-Leu". It matches the Rfam family "tRNA". Rfam says of the family: Transfer RNA (tRNA) molecules are approximately 80 nucleotides in length. The record is from RNAcentral. Lineage: Bacteria; Pseudomonadati; Pseudomonadota; Gammaproteobacteria.